Macaca mulatta (Rhesus monkey) is the source of this 4502-nucleotide non-coding RNA. Lineage: Eukaryota; Metazoa; Chordata; Mammalia; Primates; Cercopithecidae. The record is from RefSeq and is a predicted model, not a curated record.
CAUCUACAUAUGUACAUACACACAAACAUGUCUACAUAUGUACAUACAAACAUGUCUAAACAGGUAUACACACACAAGGAAAGGUCUCAUAGCUUUUACCUUGGGAUUCCAACCGUAAAGUAACAGUACACACUCAGUAUUUUAUAAAAAAUAGCUGGAUACACGUUAUUGUCUGACAAAACUGGAACCUGUUUCCAUGGCUAAAUUGUGUUUUCUCCAAUAUAUAAUCUAUGAAAGCUGUAAACCAAAAUUUGAGUAAAGCAAUCUUUAUGGCAGUUUUGUUUUUAAGAAAGCAUCUUUUACCUUUUUCUUUUCCUUCAGUUUUAAACAAGUUUCGUUUGUUUACUUUCUAAUUAGUCCGUAAAUAAUGUGUCUUAUCACAGCACCAACAGCUUAGUAACAGCCAAUCUGAAGCAGGCAGAAAACAAAACAGAGGAAGAAAGAGGUUUUGAUGACUCUGCUUCACUUAAUAGCUGCAGUUAACCAUUUGAGCUCUCAAGUUUUCUUGCUAUAGUUUGCCUCUCUAUUUAAAAUGUUCACAAAAGUAGGUCUUAAUAAGUAGCCAGCUGAAAUCCAGAAGAGAAUGAGAAUAUGAAUUUCCUGCCAGGACUCUGCAGAGGAGCCAGGUUUAAAAUCUGGCUCCUUUAAAAGGAGGGAAAGAGAAAAUGAUAGAAAAGGAGGUUUGUGAACCUUCUAGCUGCUGCAUGGUAUAGGGUUGGUACCCCCACCACUCUUGCUGACAUCCCAUCAGGGAGAGCCCCAGUACCCUGGACAUGCACAGUGUGAGACAAAUCCCUCCCACCUCUACAAGUCAUGGGCAAAGGAAACUGUUGACAGCUGGCGAGAGCUAGGGGUACCUUUGACUGAGAUGAGUAAGGCUGUAGGUGGCUUCUAAGAUAAUCAGGAAGAUGAAGUUGAAAGUGAAAAAGAUAGGAAGAGAUAAGGGCCCACACUCAAAGGUCAUACACUCACACUUACAAACAAAUGGUGAGCUUCCAAACAAACCCCAGUUAAGGGCUGGGUAGAAUCCUGAAUUUCUUUCCUCUGUUCAAAACAGCUCCACAGGUAUCUGAAACCAAGUGGAGCGAUGCCCAGGAGUGCCACAAAUUCUAAUCCGUCAAACACUCAAAUGAUAGUCCCGUUAGUGAACAAGACGAAACAGCAGAGCCCCAGCGACACCCCAGAAGACACGAGAAAGCUGGGUGCAAUCCGACCAGCUCCCUUGGUUGCAAGGGUUGCCAGCUUCUUCAGAGGUCACAUUCUUUGUACCAGCAAAGUGUCGAUGGCUGCAGAAGUUGUGCGAGGAAGUGAAAGGGAGGGUCUAGGAAAUGAAAGAUUUUCAGCAGCCACUUGGAAGUUCCCUAACGUUCCUGCCGUGGGGUCUGCUAGCCUUCAGCUGCAGGUACUCACAGGUAACCCUCCGCCUUGGUAGCAAAACCAGGCUCACAGGCUUGGGUUGCCCAGAGCACAUAAUGCUCCCCAUAUGGGCCACCAAAUUUGUUACCAAACACAGGUUUGGCCACUUGUCACUGACAGUAUCAAAUAACAAGCAUGAGGGUGGUAAAAAGAAAGUGACUUUAUUUCACAGUUUAGCAAUGGAGAAGAACCGGGUUCGUAUCUAAAGGAGCCGCUUCAGUUUUCUGGGAAGAAAGCAGGGUUUUAAGAAGAGAAACUUUCUUAUGCAGGGCGUGCAAGGAACAUGGAGGUGCGGGGUCUAUGUGUCUUGCUGUAAAACUUAGCUAAGAGGUCAUUGGUUAGUCUGACCAGUGUCAUUGAGGACAGAGUCGGAAUGUGGAUUAACAAUUGUCUUGAGACAGUCUCCCUCUGAGGGAGAAUUCUGGAUGGUGCCUGCUUUGGUUCAACAUUUGGUCCUUAGAAUUUCUAAGGAAACAUACUUAGAUAAGCUGGCAGUCCUUGCAGGCUGUUUCACUGGUGGAAACGAAGGAAGGAAAAGGUUAAAUUUGCCUUUCAAAGGAGCUAAGGAAGAGGUGGACAGUGAGAAAGAGAAAAAAUACACAGGUAAUUUUUAGGAAAAUGCUAUACUGGGCUAAAAUUUAACAUAAUUUCACUGUGUCUAAAGUGCUACCCUAUACUUCAUGCAAGCUAUGCUUGUGGCAUUCAUGGAGUGAUGAACAGAGAAAAAAAUAGUUUUAAAGUGCAAAGGAAACUAGAGAUUCUUUUAAGGAAAAUCAGUGAAGGAAGAAACCUUUAUUGGCUUCUCCUUUUGGUGAGAAAUGUUCUCUUAUAAGUAGACAACUGUACUUUAAUUAUUUCAUAAUGUAGUGAUUUUACCAGCCACAACUAGCAGGAUAACAUAGGAAAGGCAAGUUGUUGUCCACACAGGGUCACUAUAUCUACCUAACACACCAUUUACGUUAUUUCUAAAAAUAACCUUCAUCCUUGGGCUUGAUGCAGGAUCACUGAGUCAUGGAAAACUUUGUGUUUGUGUAGUCAGAAAUGAGAUGAAAGCAUAAAGGUAAAUUUUUCUUUAUUAAAGAAUUCAUUUAAAUUACUUUUCUUUGUAUCUUUGCUUUUUGUUUCUGUACUGCUCCAGUACUCCUGUGAACCAUGUGUGAGUGGAGUAAUGAUGGCACCACAGUCCAACCUGCAUGGCUAUUGGCCUGAGUGCUCCCGCCUCAUGAAAUUCAGCCACCUCUUUCUCCAGUCAGUUCCAUAUUCUCAACUCCCAGUGUCUUCCAGAGUCCGUGUCACACCACAGCCUGGAAACUCUCCCCAAGCGUUACUCCAUCAUUACUCUACCACCGCCUAUAUGGAUGUAAUUGUCAGUGUGAAGCUGAGUAAGGAACAACGUGCACCAGACUCACAGAGAAAAAUGGACAAGCGAGCUGGCCUUUGUAUCACUAAAGGGAAGGUUUGGAAUAAUUCAUCAGUGUAAUCUUCUCAACCUGGUCAAUCACAUGAACUUCGAAGAUGAUUCCUCCCCAGCUGAUCCUUCAGGCCUCUCUGGACGGUGGCUAUAACCUAUAGCCUUGCCCAGUACGACUCAGCGUUUGGUACUGGCUGUGCCUUUCAUGGGAUGCUUACUUAUCCUGAUGGAUGGCCUAAAGCCGAACUGUCCAGCUUAUAUCCAGGUAUCCUUCUCAGAGAGUACUUGUUUAUACUGUAAGACACCCUGUGGCUCCCGUCUGACCUCUGUCUAGUUUAUUUCUACCAAGGUAACCACUCUUUAGGAGAGUGCUGAGUGGGAGAAAAGUGAGGUCCAUGUGUGUUCGUCAAGUGAAAUACAGAGGAGGCAACUCAACACAAUGUGUAUAAUGGCGUUAGUAAUGUAUUACUAACCUAUCCCAGUAAGAAGAGGCCAGCAUUCCUUGAAGUGCCAGUGAAAAGAGAAGAGCUCUCCAGGCCACACACUCAUAAGCAGCAGGGGUGGUGGAGGAGGAACUAGAGAAAGACAUGCUAUUGCCCCAUUUGUCUGAAGUCUUUAUGGGUGUAUUUGUCAGUUUUUUUUUUUCCAGCGAGACAGAACUACAGGGAGGUAGAUAGGUAGGUAGACAGAUACGUAGUUGGAGAGUUGAUAGAUAGACAAUAGUUAGAUGAAUGGCAUUUUGUUUUGGGAUUUACUCGUGUAACAUUGUAGAGUCGGAGAAUUCCCGAGACAGCCAUCUGCGAGUUUAAGGACCUUGGAUGCUGUAGCGUGAUGGCUCAGUCUAAAGCUGAAAUCUUCAGAACCAGGGAAGCUCUUGGUGUAAUUCUCAGUUUGGGACCAAUGGCCUGAGAAUCCAGGGCAUUUACUGGUAUAAGUUCUGGAGUUUCAAGGUCAUAGAUUAUGGAGUUUUAUUUUCCAAGAGCAGGAAAAGGAGUAUACUUUCUCCUGGAGAGAUACCGGAAAACUUUUUAAAUUUUUUUUCGUUUUUGGUUUUAUUUGGUCCCCAAGGAGAUUGUAUGCUGCCUUUCCUCAUUGAGGGUGGGUUUUCCCACUAAAUUCCCUGACUCAUACCAACCUCCUCUGGAAACACCCUGGCGGACACACCCAGAAGUAAUGCUUUACCAAUUCUCUAGGUAUUCUUUAAUCCAGUCAGCACCUUAAAUUAACCAUGACAAGUCCAGCACCUUUCUAGUUGGCACCUAUAUGUAUCACCUUAAGCCAUAACUAAUCUUUAGAUACAGACAAUAACAAGGCAAUAGUUCUACCUAACAUGAUGCAACCAUCCUGUGUGCAACCGAAACACACUAUACUAUUUGUCUUAAGAGCAGUGGAAGUUUGUGGGUGAUGUUUACUCUUCUCCUGAUACCCCAUAACUUCAAUACAAGUAUGUGAAAUUCCUAACACUUAACUGUAGUAUCAAGUUAACACAUUUUGUGUUUUGUAAUAAAAGAAUAAGAGAGAAAUAAAAACAAUGUUAUUUGCCUAGUAUAUUGAUAUAUAACAUGCAAAUGUAUUCUUUUUUUUUCUGUGUUUUUAUGCUUGUAUUAUGCAUAUGUCUGAAUCCAUAUUUUUUUUCUUUUUUUCUUUCUUUUUUUUAUUAUUAUAAUACUUUAAG